Molecule: unclassified non-coding RNA, 2245 nt
Filed under: Neodiprion lecontei (redheaded pine sawfly)
Lineage: Eukaryota; Metazoa; Arthropoda; Insecta; Hymenoptera; Diprionidae
Description: heterogeneous nuclear ribonucleoprotein A1, A2/B1 homolog, transcript variant X6
Source: RNAcentral
UGACCUUGGCCUGCGCUGCUUCACUUCCCGAGCAAGCGAUAUCGGGUAAAGUUGGUGUAGCUGUGGUGCGUUUUGGGAAUUUAAUUUCGAUUUCUACAAUUCGUCGCUCAUCUAACCAUGGUCAAGAUGGAUCACGACGAUGGAAAGAAUGAGCCCGAACAUGUGCGAAAAUUAUUUAUUGGUGGCUUGGACUACAGAACCACUGAUGAUUCCCUUAAAAAACAUUUCGAACAAUGGGGUGAAAUUGUCGAUGUUGUAGUUAUGAAAGAUCCAAAGACUAAGCGGUCGCGAGGCUUUGGAUUCAUUACCUACUCUCGUGCUCACAUGGUUGACGAUGCUCAAAAUGCAAGACCUCAUAGAGUAGAUGGACGUGUUGUGGAACCAAAACGUGCAGUUCCUCGUCAAGAGAUUGGAAGACCGGAGGCUGGGGCAACAGUCAAGAAGUUGUUUGUUGGCGGACUGAAAGACGACCAUGAAGAAGAAGAUCUUCGUCAGUAUUUCCAAGCGUUUGGAAGUAUUAAUUCUGUCAGCAUUGUCACAGACAAAGAAACUGGGAAGAAACGAGGUUUUGGAUUCGUUGAAUUCGAUGAUUAUGAUCCUGUGGACAAGAUCUGCCUGCAGCGUAACCAUCAAAUCUGUAACAAGCACGUUGAUGUCAAGAAGGCGUUAAGCAAAGCUGAAAUGGCUUCUGCUACUGGUGGCGGUGGCGGUGGGGGUGGCAGAGGAGGCCAAGGAGGUGGACGCGGUCCACGAGGUAGCAAUCAGGGAGGUGGCAACUGGGGAGGCCGAGGUGGCGGUGGUAGCGGAGACUGGAACAAUGGUGGAAACCAAGGUGGAUAUGGAGGAGGUAAUCAAGGCGGAUGGGGAGGCAAUGGACCUUGGGAGAACCAAAAUCAAGGGGGUGGCUGGGGAGGCCAGGGAGGACAAGGAGGCUACAACAGUGGUGGAAACUGGAGCAAUGACAACUUCGGAGGUGGUUACCAACAAGGUUAUGGUGGUGGACCCGUUCGGAACAAUUUUAAUGCUGGUGGCAGACCUGCGCCUUAUGGUGGUGGACCAAUGGGUGGCAAUACAGGCGGCGGCGGCGGUGGCGGCGGUGGCAGCGGAGGUGGUGGCGGUGGCUACGGCGGUGGUGGCGGCGGUAACCAAGGAGGAUAUGGUGGCAAUCCCGUCGGAGGUGGCAAUAUGGGCGGUGGCGGCGGUGGGAGGAGAUAUUAAACCACCCAAUGAAGUUUGUUGCGACGCUACGCUCCCUCAGAUGGUUUACCAUUUGCCGGCCGGUACAUUGAGCGUGAUCGACGUGUCUACCUGACCUCGGGGUCUCAGUUCUCGCUUGAGGAAGGAGAAUUGGUUGAUCAAAACAUACAACACCAUAUCCUGUUUCUACGAACGCAGACAUCUGUUUUCUCGUUAAUUGAUAUUUUCUGAAUCAGCUGAGUUUUCAUUCACGAGUAAUUUUUGCUUUUACCCUUCUCAACCCUGUUUGGGUUAAUUCUUUCAUCUGAAAAUGGAUUUUUGGUUCCUUGGGUCAUUUCUCCUGUACUUGUCAUCUGAAUAAAAUAUUAUUUUCAGAUUAUCACUACAUCAAUGAAAACGUAUUUAUGCAAGUGUAAGGCUAUAUUGAGUCUUUUUGUGCGAAUUCUCAAAAUUAAACUAAGGUUAACGACAGCUGGUGAACUUCUGAGUAGUAUUUACUGUGGAAAAAAACAGUAAGCACAAUGUAUGCACGAAAAAAGACCGCAGGAUCGGCAACCUAGAGCUCAUUUCUUUUUUCAUAAUGCAGUCCUUCUCACAAUUAGUCUAUUGCAUACUUUUUUUUAUUCUGUCUAGUUAUCUAUUGUUUGAAAUAUUUACAGUAUACUGUUGUCUAUUUUGUAUUGCACAAAAGUAUUAGCAUAAUCGUAGUACAUGAAGAAAACAAAACCGAAUUCAAAAUUGUGCAAUUGAAACAUGUUACUUUCACAAUAUAUGUAAAAAUUAGGUAAAAGUGUAUUCCUUCGACGCAGCCAACUUGGAGGAAUUGCAAAAGAGAAACAUUUCGUAAGUAUGUAUUGAUUGAAACGGCAAUAUCAAAUCAAGUUGCGUAUAUAAAAACAGAGACAAUUAAAAUUGGUAAAAAUCUUACAGUGCGCACUCGUUGACUGGAAGCUACCAUAUUUCUCUUGUUUUGUAAACGCAUUUGUGUACCUGUGUACCUGUGUAUCUAUUUAUGAAAGUGAAAUAAUAAAAGAAAGUAUGAAAAACA